Molecule: long non-coding RNA, 324 nt
Organism: Mauremys reevesii (Reeves's turtle)
Lineage: Eukaryota; Metazoa; Chordata; Testudines; Geoemydidae
Exons: 3
Source: RefSeq, a predicted model, not a curated record
CAUACCAUGAAAGAAGCCCUGCGACUCUUUGAAAUGUUUCAUGACAGUGCAGUGGGUGGACAUCUUGGAAUACUCAAAACGAGGAACGUGCUGACAUCAAAACACUAUUGGCCAGGGAUGACAAAAGACAUUACCAAUUGGGUUGCACAAUGCCUGACUUGCCAGAAACAGGGAAAGCAAUCAAAUCUGGAUACCACCUUGAAAAGCAUAAAGGUCACGCGGAUCUGGGAAUUGUUGGGAAUGGAUUUAAUAGGACCAUUACCAACAACAAAGGAUGGAUACAAGUAUAUACUGACAGUCAUAGAUUAUCUGUCAAGAUGGGUG